Molecule: RNA transcript, 13562 nt
Organism: Loxodonta africana (African savanna elephant)
Lineage: Eukaryota; Metazoa; Chordata; Mammalia; Proboscidea; Elephantidae
Gene: WBP2NL
Gene name: WBP2 N-terminal like
Exons: 8
Source: RefSeq, a predicted model, not a curated record
CACGGCUCGGCUCAGGCCUCGCCCCUUCCCAUCUGAGGGGCGCCCGGGCCGCCAGGGAGCAAGAUGGCGGUGAAUCAGAACCACACCGUGAACCGCCAUGGGGCUGUCAUCCCUUAUGGUGAAAGAAUGCAGAAGUUGAUAAAAAUCUUCAAUUUCUUCAUCUUUGGCAUUAGUGGUUGUGUCUUGAAGCAGUGUAAGGAUGUGGUGCUCUCCUUCCCACACCAACCAGGGGAAUCUGAUCUGUUUAGGGGUACAAAGAAGGGGACGUUGUUUCUCACUUCAUUCCGGGUGAUCUUCCUGACUUUACACUCCGUCAGCAAUCCCAUGUUGUCUUUUAUGAUGCCAUUUAAUCUGAUAAGGGACUGCACUGUCGAACAACCACUAUUUGCCCCCAACUACAUUAAAGGAACCAUUACAGCAGCCCCAGGUGGUGGCUGGGAAGGACAGGCUACUUUUAAAUUAUCCUUCAGGAAAGGAGGUGCCAUCGAAUUUUCCCAGCUGAUGACGCAAGCUGCCGCUGCUGCUGCCAGAGGAAUUCCAUUUGGAAAUGUAAAUUAUUGGUAUGGCGGGCCGGCCAUGUAUGUGGUCAUUCCUGGACAGGUGAACAUGCCGUGUACUCUGGAAAACCCUUGUCAAGCUAUUCUCUAUGGACCCACACCCAUCAGACCCCCACCUAUGGAAUAUGGAGCACCAUCAUCUGUGAGAUAUGAAACCCCGCCUCUGGGAUAUGGAACCCAACCUAUGCAGCAUGAAGCCCCACCUGUGGGAUAUGAAGCCCCACCUUCAGAAUAUGGAGCCCCGCCUGCAGGAUAUACAGCCCCACCUGUGGGAUAUGAAGCCCCACCUCCAGGAUAUGAGGUCCCAUCUGCAGUAUAUGAAACGCUGCCUACAGGAAAUGAAGCCCCACCUCUGAGAUAUGAAGCCCCACCUCCAGAAUAUGGAGCCCCGUCUGUAGGAUAUAGAGCACAGUCUCAGAGAUAUAGGGCAGCUCAGCCUCCUGGACAUGAAGCUUUUCUUCCCUCUGCCUCUUCUCAGGCCCAUUUUCCACCUCCUAGGAUGUAAACCUUGAAGACUCCCCAGGCAAAGUAGCACCCUAAAAUUUAAGUCAGGAUAAGAAAGAAGACUCAGUUACACCGUACCCGGUGAACUUGAGGUGAGGUCCAGUUACCUAGAAAGAGUGACAGGCCCAAGUCUGAAGGCGGAAUUGCAUCAUGUUCUCCAGCAAAGGGUUCCUGGUCGAAGUCCACCAAGCUGCCCCAACACAACCUAAGACUGUGAGUAUAUGGGGCUAGGACCAAGCAGAGCCACAGUUUGGCCCCACGUGGCACUUGUGGCAUACCUACUGUUACUUCCACUGCCUGGUAUGGUUGUUCCCCUGAUUCAGGCAGAGGCAGGACCCAGAUCUUGCCCUACCAAGGACAUGCCCAGUUCAGCGCGUGCAUGCUGGUUCUGCUCAGCCCCCAUGAUAUGUUGGGUGCUUCCUUCCUGACUAGCUCCCUGCCAUGUGGAUUCUAUUCUUCAUCCUCUCUCUUUUCCCCACUAUAGCUCAUACAGUAUUCUUGCUGUCUUGUCCACUUUGUCUCUUCAUUUUCUGUUAGGAAUACAAAUGGAACGGAAAAGGGCCUUUUAUCCCUGGACUGUCUGGUAGUGGACCCACAAAAUAAGCCCCCAAUGCCCUUUUUUCAGGGUGAGUAAAUGCUCACCCACCUAGAGCAGAGGUGGCCUGCUCAAUUCUCCUGAGGACUCAGGGAGAAAUGUAUAGCUGGAGUGAUUUCUAAUCCACAGAUUAACAUGUACAAGAAACAUUACAUGUCUUUAUUUUCCUUAAACUUAAUUCUGUCGCCAAGCCCACUACCACCACCUGUCUUGUUGAUAGACUCCCUCAAGCCCCCAAGAUUAUGCAAAGAUAUCCAGAUCUUACGUGGCACCAAGAUACGGGGAAGACCCUUCAGUCAUCAUAUUGCCUCUCAAACAGCCACUGUCCAGUCCUGACAGUCCCAUCAGGUCUGGCAGCACUGUUGUUUCCUUGUGACCCCAGAAUCUUUGGUAGGGUUAGAACCUAGGUGUUAGGGAUUCAAUUCCAUGUACCACACAGCGUUCCCCCGAGAGCUGGAAAGCAAGACCCCAAUGCUCACUCCUUGAGACUCACAGAUCUCAAUUCCUUUUGCAGCCUCCCAGAUUCUGCCCUGCCCCCAAGCCAUGCUGUCAGUCGGUAUCCCCUCCAUCCCUUGAGCACUCAUCUUGUUCGUAAUCUCAUAGGAUUUGGGUUUCCACAAAAGAUAAUGGAAGCCUUUGCCUUCACGUGGAUUUGGCCUUCCUUGCCCAGUGCCUGGCUGUUUGCUUGCAAUCAUGUAUGUACUGCAAAAAAAUUAUUCUGCUGCGCAGGUGACCUAGCCAUCAGGAAAGAAGUCAAACAUGUGGCAUCCAUCCCAACCUUCACCUGGAGUGCCUUCCGGAGAGGGGAGACUCUGGGACAGACAGACUCAACCAUGGACCACUGGAGAAUAAACUGGUUUUCGAAGGUUCCUAAACGGGUCAGGAAGAAGGGAUUCUGUCUAAGGAAGAAGGUCGAUAGAUUUGACCAGUGGUUUCGAUUAGUUUAGAUUUGUAUUUAGUAACCAAUAUAAAAAAAAAUUGUGUGAUUUUUCGUAGUCGGUAUUUAUUAUAAAUAAUAAAACAGGGGAUUAAUUGAAUUCAGUGUUGUUGUUGUUGUUGUUGUUAGGUGCUGUCAAGUCAGUUCCAACUCAUAGUGACUCCAUGUACAACAGAAGGAAACACUGCCCGGUCCUGUGCCAUCCUCACAAUCCUUGUUAUACUCGAGCCCAUUGUUGCAGCCACUGUGUCAAUCCAUCUCUUUGAGGGUCUUCCUCUUUUUCGCUGAUCCUUUACUGUACCAAGCAUGAUGUCCUUCUCCAGGGACUGAUCCCUCCUGAUAACAUGUCCACAGUAUGUGAGACGUAAUCUUGGCAACCUUGCUUUUAAGGAACGUUCUGGCUGUACUUCUUCCAAGACAGAUUGGUUUGUUCUUUUGGCAGUCCAUGGUAUAUUCAGUAUUCUCUGCCAGCACCAUAAUUCUAAAGCAUCAAUUCUCUUUCCGUCUUCCUUAUUCAUUGUCCUUGUCCAGCUUUCACAUGCAUAUGAGGCAAAUGAAAACACCAUUGCUCGGGUCAGGCCCACCUUAGUCUUCAAGGUGACAUCUUUGCUUUUUAACACUUAAGAGAGGUCUUUUGCAGCACAUUUGCCCAAUGCAAUGCGUCAUUUUAUUUCUUGACUGCUGCUUCCAUGGAUGUUGAUUGUGGAUCCAAGUAAAAUGAAAUCCUUGACAGCUUCAAUCUUUUCUCCGUUUGUCAUGAUGUGGCUUAUUGGUCCAGUUGUGAGGAUUUUUGUUUUCUCUGUGUGGAGGUGUAAUCCAUACUGAAGGCUGUGGUCUUUGAUCAUCAGUAAGUGCUUCAAAUCCUCUUCAUUUUCAGCAAGCAAGGUUGUGUCAUCUGCAUAAUGCAGGUUGUUAAUGAAUCUUCCCUGAUGCCCCGUUCUUCUUCAUAUAGACCAGCUUCUCGAAUUAUUUGCGGAGUAUUCAGAUGAAAUAGGUAUGGUGAAAGGAUACAACCCUGACACACACCUUUCCUGACUUUAAACCGCACAGUAUCCCCUUGUUCUGUUCAAACGACUGCCUCUUGAUCUAUGCAUAGGUUCUUCAUGAGCACAAUUAAGUGUUCUAGAAUUGCCAUUCUUCACAAUCUUAUCUGUAAUUUGUUAUGAUCUACACAGUCGAAUGCCUUUGCGUAGUCAAUAAAACACAGGUAAACAUCCUUCUGGUAUUCUCUGCUUUCAGCCAGGAUCCAUCUGACAUCAGCAAUGAUAUCCCUGGUUCCACGUCCUCUUCUGAACCCCGCUUGAGCUCCUGGCAGUUAGCUAUCAAUGUACUGCUACAGCUGCUUUUGAAUGAUCUUCAGCAAAAUGUUACUCGUGUGUGAUAUUAAUGAUAUUGCUCAAUAAUUUCUGCAUUCAGUUGAAUCACCUUGCUUUGGAAUAGGCAUAAAUAUGGACCUCUUCCAGUCAGUUGGCCAGGUAGCUGUCCUCCAAAUUUCUUAGCGUAGAAUAGUGUGUGCUUCCGGCGCUGCAUCCAUUUGUUGAAAGAUCUCAGUUGGUAUUCUGUCAGUUCCUGGAGGCUUGUUUUUCGCCAAUGCCUUCAGUGCAGCUUGGACCUCUUCCUUCAGUACCAUCGGCUCCUGGUCAUAUUCUACCUCCUGAAAUGGCUGACUGUCCACCAGUUCUUUUUGAUAUAGUGAUUCUGUGUAUUCCUUCUGUCUUCAUUGGAUGGUUCCUGUGUCAUUUAGUAUUUUUCCCUUAGAAUCCUUCAAUAUUGCAACUGGAGGCUUGAAUUUUUUCUUUGGUUCUUUCAGUUUGAAAAAUGCUGAGCUUGUUCUUUCCUUUUGGUUUUCUAACUUCAGAUCUUUGCACAUUUCAUUAUAAUACUUUACUUUGUCUUCUCGAGCCACCCUUUGAAAUCUGUUUAGCUCUCCCACUUCAUCACUUCUUCCUUUUGCUUUAGCUAUUCCACGUUCGAGAGCGAGUUUCAGAGUCUCUUCUGACAUCUGUUUCAGUGUCUUGCUUCUUUCCUGUCUUUUUACCAGCCUCUUGCUUUCUUUAUGUAUGAUGUCCUUGCACACCUUGUUUGGUCUUCGGUCGUUUGUGUUCGGUGCAUCAAAUCUAUUCUUGAGAUGGUCUCUAAAUUCAGGUGAGAUAUACUCAAGGUUGUACUUUGGCUCUCGUGGACUUGUUCUAAUUUUCUUCAGUUUCAACUUGAACUUGCAUAUGAACAAUUGGUGGUCUGUUCUGCAGUCAGCCCUUGGUCCUGCUCUGACUUAUGAUACUGAGCUUUUCCAUUGUCUCUUUCCACAGAUGUAGUUAAUUUGAUUCAUAUUCCAUCUGAUGAAGGGCCAUGUGUAUAGUCACCAUUCAUGUUGGUGAAAAAAGGUAUUUGCAGUGGAGAAGUCAUUGGCCUUGCAGUAUUCUAUCAUGCGACCUCUGGGAUCAUUUCUGUCACCAAGCCUGUGUUUUCCAACUACUGAUCCUUCUUGUUUUCACCUUUGGCAUUCCAAUCACCAGUAAUUAUCAAUGCAUCCUAAUUGCAUGUUCGAUCAAUUUCAGACUGCAGAAAUUGGUAAAAAUCUUCAACUUCUUCAUCUUUGGCUUUAGUGGUUGGUGCGUAAAUUUGAAUAGUAGUCACACUAACUGGUCUUCCUUGUAGGCAUAUGGAUAUUAUCCUGUCACCGACGGUGUUGUACUUCAGGAGAGAUCUUGAAAUGUUCUUUUGAUGAUGAAUGCAACGCCAUUCCUCUUCAAGUUGUCAUUCCCAGCAUAGUAGACCAUAUGAUUGUCUGAUUAAAAAUGGCCAAUCCCAGUCCAUUUCAGCUCACUCAUGCCUGGGAUAUCAAGGACUCAAAAUGAGAAGAAACACCUCCAAACAUCCAUUAAUAAUCAGAACGUGGAAUUGAGUAUUGGUAAGUAGCUAUUAAUAUUGAACAGAGUUGGCUAAUUGCUUUUAAUGUCUAAAUAUUCAACAAACCUUUGCAUGCCGUAGCCAAAGGCCGCUGGAGCUGAGCUGUUGAGCUGAGAACAAAAGAAAGGACGAUUUCCUUCUCAGCCUGAGAGGGAGGCAGCAGUCGUCUCCUGGGUCUGGAGAGGAGUCCCAGGACAGGCCUUGCUCUCCUGUUUCACCAGGCCUGAGCCUAGAGUACUUUCUGCCCCUCCCUCUCCCUGCCCUGAUACGGGGUUCCCUGUGGUUGCAUGAAAAAGUCUUAUUUAUCUGUUAAAUCGCAGCCCAAACCCUCUGUGAAACCUUCCUCAACUUCCCAGCCAGACUCAGAGUGACUUUGUCCUCUGUCCCGCUGCAUUUUGUACCUUACUCCCUGGGAGCAAUUGCAGAGUCUGCUGUCAUUGCCUGUUCACCAGUCCGCCUUUGCCCUGAACUCUGAGCUCCAUGAGGACGUGAAUUGGGCCAUUAUUUGGUGCAAGGCAUCAUGCGUAGUACCGUGGAGGCAGAGUUGUUCCAAAUAUGGUCCCUGUCUUCUAAGAACUUUCUAGUCAGAGCUGAAGGGCAAGAGGGGAAAUAGUUGUUAGUAUUACUUGUCUCGGUUGUUAAUAAUCAUUUGCCUCACUCUGCCACUUCUUUGGAGGAAGCAAAAAUGUUUCUGGUUAUAAAACUAGGUCCCUGGCCUUCUCUGUGGUUUCCCUUACCUGGAUGGAAUGUCUGAAAAACAGGAUGAAAAAGGAAAAAGAAAGAGUGAAGGAAACUCCUUUGUCAGUUAGCGGUGUGAUCAGCUACAAGUCACAGGUAACCAAUUACACUGGUUUAAAUAAGUAGGGGGCUAUUUUCCUCACGUAACAAAAAUCCAGGCGGCAGGCGGUCUAGGUUGGUGCAGCUGUCAGCUGUGUCAUCCAGGGCCCCUUUACCAUUGGGUCCUGCUGUCCCCAGCAUGAUGGCUUGUUGCCUCCUGGUCAAGAUGGCAGCUCACUUCAGGUGUCAUGUCCAAAAUCAAGGCAGGACAAAAGGGAGAGCAAAGGGCUCUGCCAAAUGCAACUGGCCUUUUUUUAAUCAAAAAACUAAACUGUCCCACAACUCCCCAGCAGUCUCAUUGGUCAAAACUGAAACACAUGACCAUUCCUAGCUGCAAGGAAGUAGGGGACAAACUGAAACAGGGCUGGGACUGGGCACCUGGCCCUUCUGAACAAAGUCAUCUUCUGUUAGCAAUGAGAAGGGUAGCGGGUACGAGGCAGGUAGCUUCGUCUAUCACACCUGCUCUUGACCCCUCCUGAAAUCUGAGUCUCAGCCAGGAGUGCUGAAGGAAGAAUCUUUUAACCUGUGCUGGAAACCCAUCGUGAAUGUGCACACUCUACCACUUCCAAAGCCCUCCCACACGGUGUUCCACCUUGCUCCCAGGUUUUCAGGGAAGGUGGACCUCAAAGAAGUCAGGGGGAACAUGGAACAUGGUGGAGGGUGGGGCUCCAGGGCUCCCCUGUGUGUGAAUUGGUCUGACAAUGUCACCACUGGGCUCCUUGAAAUGCCUCUUUCGUCCUUAAAGAACCUGGGUCAGGACAAGGCGCUCAUGAGAGCCCUCGCCAUUUCUCAGGAGGCAUCACGUGUCAUCCACCGGACAUCACUGGUAGUUGUUCGGUGCCCUUAGUGACCCCACGUGACAGAGUAGAACAGCCCCAGAAGGUUUCCUAGGCUGUGAUCUUUAUGGAAACAGAUCACCCGGUCUUUCUCCCUUAGAGUCACUGGGUGGGUUCCAACAGCCAGUCUUCCUGUUAGCAGCCCGUCAUUUAACGGUUGUGCCACAAGGGCUCCUUAACAGGCACCUUUAAUACUGGGGAUAAUGGUGUUUGAAGAGGGGCUCCCUUAGGCUUCCUUUUUGUUGUUGUUGAUCCUUUUUUAAAAUAUGAAAUAUUUGAUACAUAUAAAAGAAAAUGUAUGAUUUAUAGGUAAGCUAUGGAGAAUAAAUGACCCUACCACCCAACUUAAACAGAACAUCACCCAAACCAUUGAAGCUCUGGUGUGCUUAUUUGUCAUCUUGGUGUCCCUUGAAGGUAACCACCCUGCCGGGCCUGACCCAGACUUCCCGGAGCGCACACUCUUGCCAACACUUGUCAGACGCUUUCAUUCUUGCCCAUGUUGAUAUGAAGUGAUAGUUAUGGUUUUAAUUUGUGCUUCAUGAGUUCAGGCAUCAUUUAGUGUUCUUUAUUGGCUGUCUUAGUUUCUUAGUGCUGCUGUCACAAAUGCUACAAGUUGGUGGAUUUAAUAAACAGAAAUUUAUUUUCUCAAAGCGUAGGAGGCUAGAAGCCCGAAUUCAGAGCACCAGCCCUAGGGGAAGGCUCUCUAUCAGCUCUGGGGUCAGGUCCUUGUCUCAGCUUCUCUAGCUGGCCAUCCUUGGGCUUACAGACGGGUUUGCCUCCGUCAUCUUCAGAUAGUGUCAGUCUUCCCUGUGUCUACCUUCUUCUGCGCCCAAUCUGUUCCUUUAUAUCUCAGAAGUGAUUAGCUUAGACACAUUCUACACUGGUAUGGCCUCAUUAAUGUAACAAAGAAAACCACAGCAGGUUUAGGGGUUAGAGGUCCAACACACAUUUUUGGGGGACACGAUUCAGUCCAUAACAUUGGCUGUUUAUGUUUCCUACUCUGUGAGUUGCCUGCUGAUGUCUUUUGCUGGUUUUCAACCCUGCUCCUGUUUGUCACCCUGCAUGCUGUUGGUGACUAGUACUAGCCUCUCUUACUAACUCAGAGCUCUCUGCUUCUCUCCCCCUAGCUCCCGCCCUCGCCUCCUCCCUAUCACCUUUCCCCUGUACCCUGGGUUCUUUCAAUUGGAGCCUGCGCUCCCCUUCCCUCUCCAGCUUCCAGUCAGGGGUGCCUUCUAAAAUACUAACCUAAAGCAAUCCAAAUAUCUGUCAUUGGCUAUGGUCUCGGGGAACAUCUAGCUCAAGUGGCAUAAUAUAAUUUAUAAAGAAAAUGUCCUACAUCCUACUUUGGUGAGUAGCGUCUGAGGUCUUAAAAGCUUGUGAGUGGACAUCAAAGAUAUGUCUACUGGUCCCACCUCGUAUGGAGCAAAGGAGGAUGAAGAAAACCAAAGACACAAGAUUAGUCCAAAGAACUAAUGGACCAAAACUACUACAACCUCAACCAGACUGAGUCCAGCACAACUAGAUGGUGCCUGGCCACCACCACUGACUGUUCUGACAGGGAUCACAAUACAGGGUCCUGGAAAAAGCGAGAGAAAAUGCAGAACAAAAUUCAAACUUGCAAAAAGCCAGACUUAUUGGUCCGAUAAGACUGGAGGAACCCUGAGAAUAUGGGACCUGGACCCCCUUUUAACUCAAUACUGAAGUCACUCCUGGGGUUCACCCUUUAGCCAAAGAUAAGACAGGCACACAAAACAAAACAAGACUAAAUGGGCACACCAGCCCAGAGGCAAGGACAAGAAGGCAGGAGGGUACUGGAAAGUUGGUAAUGAGGAGCCCAAGGUUGAGAAGGGGAGAGUGUUGACUUCUCAUGGGGCUGGCAACCAGUGUCACAAAACAAUGUGUGUGUAUUUUAAUGAGAAACUGAUUUGCUCUGUAAACCUUCAUCUAAAAUACAAUAAAAAAUAUCUGUCAUUUGAAUAAGAAUGUAGCAACUGAAAAUAUACUAAUAGGGAAUAACUUCCAAAAUAUUUUUUCUUAAGUUUUAUUUUGUUGAGAAUGUACACAGCAAAAACAUCAAGUCAACAGUUUCUACAUGUACAGUUUAGUGACACUGAUUACAUUCUUCGUGUUGUGCAACCAUUGUUACCCUCUUUUUCUCAGUUGUUCCUCCCUCAUUAACAUAAAUUCACUGUCCCCUAAGGUUCCCAUCCAAUCUUUCCAGUUGUUGUCAAUUUAAUCCCAUAUAGAUCUUAAAAUAGCAUAAUGCUCAAGGCAAACCUUUUUUUAACUAGUAAACCUUUUCUUACUACUUAAGCUAAACUAUUGUUUGGUUUUAAGAAGACUUCAGAGGAUGCUUUUGGUUCAAGUAUCAAAGAUUAUUUCAGGACAAUCAUUUCAGGGGUUCAUCCACCCUCCAUGGCUCCAGGAAGUCUGAAGCCCAUGAGAAUUUGAAAUUCUGUUCUGCAUUAUUCCUCCUUUUGAUCAGGUUUUGGAAUCUUUGAUCAAAAUGUUCCGUAAUGGUAGCCAGGCACAAUCCAGUUCUUCUGGUCUCAUGCCAAAGAAGGUAGUUCUUCAUGAAGGCAAUUAACCCCACAUUCCAUAUCCUCCUUCUAUUCCUGACUCUCCUCCUUCCUCUGUUGUUCCCGGUGAAUAGAGAUCAACUGUUGUGCACUAGAUGGGUGCCUGCAAGCUUUUAAGACCCCAGGCACUACACAACCAACUAGGAGGUAGGAAAGAAUUAGGCCAAUUAAUUGGGAUGUUCCAUGAAACCAUGACCCUAAACCUCCAAACCAAGGAGCCAAAUCCCAUGAGAUGUUUGGUUGUACAUAAACAGCCUCAGCAGCUACUCUUUUUCUUUGUAAAUAUAUCUAUCACGUACAUACAAGGAAGACCAGUUAAUACGAUUAUUAUUCAAAUUUACACACCAACUGCUAAGGCCAGAGAUGAAGAAACUGAAGAUUUUUAUCAGCUUCGGCAGUCUGAAAUUGAUCAAACAUGCAAUCGGGAUGCAUUGAUAAUUAAUGGUGAUUGGAAUGCAGAAGUUGGAAACGAAGAAGGAUCGGUUGUUGGAAAAUAUCGCCUUGUUGAAAAUAUGACCUUCUUUCUCCUUAUCAAAAAUAAAAAAUCAAUUGGCCAACAAUGUAUGGGUUUAUUUAUAGAUUCUCCAUUCUAUUCCAUUAGUUUAUAUGUCUUUAUACCAGUACUACACUGUUUUGAUUAUUGUAGCUUUGUAAUACACUGUGAAAUGGGGAAGUGUGAGUCCCCCUACUUUGUUCUUUUUCAGGAUUGUUGUGUCUAUCCAGGCCCCUUUUAAUUCCAUAUGAAUUUGAGGAUCAGCUUUUCCAUGCAAAAAAUAAAAAAGACUAUUGUAAUUUUAAUAGAAAUUGCAUUGUAUCUAUAGAUGCUUUGGGUAGAACUGACAUCUUAACAAUAUUUUCUUCAAAUCCAUGAACACAGAAUGCCUUUCCAUUUAUUUUGAUCUCCUUUAAUUUCUUUCAACAAUGCUUAAUAGUUUUCAGUGUAAAGAUCUUUCAGCUCCUUGGUUAAAUUUACUCAGGUAUUUUAUUCUUAGAUGCUAUUGUAAAAGGAAUGGUUUUUUAAUUUCUUUUUCAGGUUGUUCAUCAGUGUGUGGACACACUGAUUUCUGUGUGUCAAUCUCAUACACUGCAACUUUGCUGAAUUUAUUAGCUCUAGCAGUUUUCUGAGCAUGUUCUUCCCUUUUGGUUUUCUAUACCCAGGUCUUUGCACAUGUCAAUACUUUACUUUGUCUUCUUGAGCCGCCCUUUGAAAUCUUCUGUUCAGCUCUUUGACUUCAUCAUUUUUUCCUUUUGCUUUAGCUACUCGACAUUCAAGAGCAAGUUUCAGAGUCUCUUAUGACAUUUAUUUAGUUUUUUUUCUUUCUUUCCUGUCUUUUUAAUGACCUCUUGCUUUCUUCAUGUCUGAUGUCCUUGAUGUCAUUCCACAACUCAUCUGGUCUUUGGUCAUUAGCAUUCAAUGCAUCAUAUCUACUCUUGUGAUGGUCUCUAAAUUCAGGUGGGAUAUACUCAAGGUCGUACUUUGACUUUCGUGGACUUGUUCUAAUUUUCUUCAGUUUCACCUUGAACUUGCAUAUGAGUAAUUGAUGGUCUGAUCUGCAGUCGGCCCCUGGCCUUGUUUUGUCUGAUGAUAUUGAGCUUUUCUAUCAUCUCUUUCCACAGAUGUAGUCGAUUUGAUUCCUGUGUAUUCCAUCAGGCAAGGUCAAUGUGUACAAUCACUGUUUAUGCUGUUGAAAAAAGGUAUUUGCAAUGAAGGAGUCAUUGGUCUUGCAAAAUUCUAUCAUGUGAUCUCCAGCAUCGUUUCUAUCACUAAGGCCAUAUUUUCCAACCACUGAUCCUUCUUGUUUCCAACUUUUGCAUUCCAAUCACCAGUAAUUAUCAGUGCAUACUGAUUGCAUGUUUGAUCAAUUUCAGACUGCAGAAACUGGUAAAUGUCUUCAAUUUCUUCAUCUUUGGCCUCAGUGGUUGAUGCAUAAAUUUGAAUUAUAGUCAUAUUAACUGGUCUUUCUUGUAGGCGUAUGGAUAUUAUCCUAUCACUGACAGCAUUAUAUGUCAGGAUAGAUCUUGAAAUGUUCUUUUCGACGAUGAAUGCAACGCCAUUCCUCUUCAAGAUGUCAUUCCCGGCAUAGUAGACCAUAUAACUGUCUGAUUGAAAAUGGCCAAUACCAGUCCAUUUCAGCUCACUAAUGCCUAGAAUAUCGAUGUUUAUGCGUUCCAUUUCAUUUUGGAUGAUUUCCAGUUUUCCUAGAUUCAUACUUUUUACAUUUCAGAUUCCGAUUAUUAAUAGAUGUUUGCAGCUGUUUCCUCUCAUUUUGAGUCACGCCACAUCAGCAAAUGAAGGUCCCAAAAGCCUGACUCCAUCCACGUCAUGAAGGCCAACUCUACUUUGAGGACGCAGCUCUUCCCCAAUCAUAUUUUGAGUGCCUUCCAACCUGAGGGGCUCAUCUUCCAGCACUAUAUCAGACAAUAUUCUGCUGCUAGUCAUAACGUUUUCACUGGCUAAUUCUUUCCAGAAGUAGACCACCAGGUACUUCUUCCUAGUCUGUCUUAAUCUGGAAGCUCAGCUGAAACCUGUCUGCCAUGGGUGACCCUGCUGGUAUUUGAAUACUGGUGGCAUAGCUUCCAGCAUCACAACAACACACAAGCCUCCAUGGUAUGACAAACUGACAGACACGUAGGGGAAGAACACACUCAGCAUUUCUCAAACUGAAAGAACUGAAGAAAAAAUUCAAGCCUGGAGUUGCAAUACUGAAGGAUUCUACAGAGAAAAUAUUAAACAACACAGGAAACAUCAAAAGAUGAUGGAAGGAAUACACAGAGUCACUAUACCAAAAAGAAUUGGUUGACCUUCAGCCAUUUCAGGAGGUCACAUAUGAUCAGGAACUGAUGGUACUGAAGGAAGAAGUCCAAGCUUCACUGAAGGCAUUGGCGAAAGACAAGGCUCCAGAAAUUGAUGGCAUACCAAUUGAGAUGUUUCAACAAACGGAUGCAGUGCUGGAAGUGCUCAGUCAUCUAUGCCAAGAAAUUUGGAAGACUGCUACCUGGCCAACUGACUAGAAGAGAGCCAUAUUUACACCUAUUCCCAAGAAAGGUGAUGCAACCGAAUGUGGAAAUUAUCGAACAAUAUUGUUAAUGUCACACGCAAGCAAAAUUUUGCUACAGAUCAUUCAAAAGUGGCUGCAGCAGUAUAUUGACAGGGAACUGCCAGAAAUUCAAGUUGGAUUUAGAAGGGGACGUGGAACCAGAGAUAACAUUGCUGAUGUCAGAUGGAUCCUGGCUGAAAACAGACAAUACCAGAAAGAUGUUUACCUGUGUUUUAUUGACUACGUGCAGACAUUGGACUAUGUGAAUCAACAAAUUAUGGAUACCAUUGUGAAGAAUGGGAAUUCCAGAACGCUUAAUUGUGCUCAUGAAGAACCUGUACAUGGAUCAAGAGGCAGUUGUUCGAACAGAACAAGGGGAUACUGAUUGGUUUAAAGUCAGGAAAGGUGUGCGUCAGGGUUGUAUCCUUUCACCAUACCUAUUCAAUCUGUAUGCUGAGCAAAUAACCAAAACCUGGACUAUAUGAAGGACAAUGGGGCAUCAGGAUUGGAGGAAGACUCAUUAACAACCUGUCUUAUGCAGAUGACACAUCCUAGCUUGGUGAAAGUGAAGAGGACUUGAAGCACUUACUGAUGAAGAUCAAAGACUGCAGCCUUCAGUCUGGAUUACACUUCAACAUAAAGAAAACAGAGAUUCUCCCAACUGGACCAAUAAGCAACGUCAUGGUAAAUGGAGAAAAGAUUGAGGUUGUGAAGGAUUUCAUUUUACUUGGAUCCAUAGUCAACACCCGCGGAAGCAGAAGUCAAGAAA